This 1398-nucleotide small RNA is filed under the name Rattus norvegicus (Norway rat). RNAcentral describes it as "uncharacterized LOC102546625". Lineage: Eukaryota; Metazoa; Chordata; Mammalia; Rodentia; Muridae. The record is from RNAcentral.
AGAUAGAUAGAUAGAGAGGGAUGGAUGGAUGGACAGAUGGACAGGCAGAUAAAUGGAUAGACAGACAUGUGUAUAAGAAGAUAUUGGUUUAAAAUAUUGUGAAAUGCAUAUGAAUCUUCAAAAAUUGUCAAUUUUUAUUUUUUCAACAUAAGGUUCCUUAUGGAAAAGGUAGCAUGGAGACUUCUUUAACACUGAGAACCUUAGAACUGAAUAGACACAAAAUCACAAGGAACUUUAAAUUGUAAUGUGAUUUCCUGACAUAGAAUCAGAAACCUUCACACACUUCUGUGAAGCCAGACAUCUUUGAAGGAUACAGAGGACACACAGCUAUCAAUAUAUAGGACACUUACUUGUCUUGGUUAAUAUGACUCUUUUUGACCUGUGUCAGCUCUUUGAAAGUCUGUCCAAAGUGAGCAGUGGGGUGAACAAUGGCGGCAGCAUCUUUAGGUAUCUGGAUCCAACCAUCAGGAGCUCUAAGCACUGACCCGCAAUGGCUGCCUGCCUCAGUUUGCACACCAGAUGGAUGCCAAUGCUGGUCUCUGUCAGGAAAGUACACAGAUUUCCUAAUGGUGCUUUCAACAUUAGUUCCUAUUAGAGUAUGUAACUGAAGAGGUAUCAGAGAUAACUCUUAUGUUUCUUUAACGUGAUAGAUGUUCCUCAUAUUUUUCUAAAUUUAGAAAUAUCUUGAACAUUGUGCCAUGUAAAGUAUUGAUUAUCGUUCAUGUGCAUGUUUUAACUUCUGCGAUUUAUUUAUUGACUUUUAAAGCUUCUAAUUUCAACACUAACUUCCAAACGGCAACAGAAGAAAAGUAAAACAACAUUAGGGGCAGAAGAAUAAUUUGGAUCAUGUGCGUUGGAAUAGAGGUACUGAACAGAACCACUCGAGUGGGAAGGGCCCAGGUCACCAUCAAGGAGACUAAAGCUGGGGUAGGAAGAGCAUGAGAAAGUCUCAGAGGUAUUGGGCCUGUACUGGGAAGAUCUUUUCAGAUACCCCUGGAAUGCUCUGAACUCACAGGCGGGGGAUUUACAAGUGGGACUCUUUAUCCUGGUAGCUAGAUGUGGAAAUGGCACUUCCAAGUCCUAUUUGGGGAUGGCUUGCCCAGGGAGCUUGGCUCAGUGGAGUGUAGAAUGAAUGCCAACAUUAACAAUAAUUCUGGUGGAAGUGCAAAUGUCUGCAUCAAGUUCUCAAAAAAUCCUUUUAUGGUCCAUCUGUUUGGACACACCCUGGUUCCAAACCUUGUUUUGCCUCAGGACCCACAUUCUUAGAAACUUGCUAGCUUGCUGAAGACUUGGCCUGCUUCUGCCUUCUUUUCUGCAACACUGACUGGAUGCUAAGAUUCACUCUUUGGCACUGUGACAUUUGAGCCUUUGCAAAAUAUAUUAUGUUUAUUCACGCGC